AUUUAUGCAUGCAUGAUGAGUUUAUAACUUGUUUUGUUAUAUGCUUUAUGAAAUACUUUAUUUUGUAUUACAUGUUAUUUUUUAAAUAUUAUAUUAUCAUGAAAAAUUUAUGUUUGAUCUGAUAAGAAAGUGCAAGUUCUACUUACUGGGCUAGUGUAGCUCAUAUUCUUUUUAUUUUUUUUGUUUAAAUAGAAAAAUAAGGUUAGGAUCGGCAAAAUGAAUCCAAGCUUGA
Molecule: long non-coding RNA, 232 nt
Filed under: Elaeis guineensis (African oil palm)
Lineage: Eukaryota; Viridiplantae; Streptophyta; Magnoliopsida; Arecales; Arecaceae
Description: long non-coding RNA (EGUI_LNC079131)
Source: RNAcentral